Molecule: long non-coding RNA, 378 nt
Filed under: Mytilus galloprovincialis (Mediterranean mussel)
Lineage: Eukaryota; Metazoa; Mollusca; Bivalvia; Mytilida; Mytilidae
Source: RNAcentral
UUAAUGAGGGGGGGCAAGGGGUUUAACUGUUAUGCUGUUAUGGGGUAUUUUAAUUCUUUGUUAUCUGUUAUUCUGAAAAUAUAUUUACUGUUAGCUGUUAUUGUCUUAUUCUUUGUUAGCUGUUAUAGGACUAUUAUCUAUUUUGUUAUCUGUUAUUGUGAGAAUCUAUUUGCUGUUAACUGUUAUUGAAAAUUGGAAUGUUAGCAUUUUGACAGCCAAUCUUCCUUAGAAAUUGAAGAUAAUUGAAAAUUGUGAUUUAAAUGGAUAAUAGUCUCAUUGGCACGCUUACCACAUCUUCUUACAAUGCAUAUCUAUUGGGGUCUUUCUACUGGUAAUAUCGGGUGGCCCUGUAUUUGCAGAAGAAUUUCAGUAAAAUAC